ACUCCUACGGGAGGCAGCAGUGGGGAAUAUUGCACAAUGGGCGCAAGCCUGAUGCAGCCAUGCCGCGUGUGUGAAGAAGGCCUUGGGUUGUAAAGCACUUUCAGUCGUGAGGAAGGUAGUGUAGUUAAUAGCUGCAUUAUUUGACGUUAGCGACAGAAGAAGCACCGGCUAACUCCGUGCCAGCAGCCGCGGUAAUACGGAGGGUGCGAGCGUUAAUCGGAAUUACUGGGCGUAAAGCGCAUGCAGGUGGUUGUUAAGUCAGAUGUGAAAGCCCGGGGCUCAACCUCGGAAUAGCAUUUGAAACUGGCAGACUAGAGUACUGUAGAGGGGGUAGGAAUUUCAGGUGUAGCGGUGAAAUGCGUAGAGAUCUGAAGGAAUACCGGUGGCGAAGGCGGCCCCUGGACAGAUACUGACACUCAGAUGCGAAAGCGUGGGAGCAAACAGGAUUAGAUA
This 453-nucleotide ribosomal RNA is filed under the name uncultured bacterium. RNAcentral's name for it is "bacterial SSU rRNA". It matches the Rfam family "Bacterial small subunit ribosomal RNA", at positions 335 to 784 of the family's 1533-position model. The record is from RNAcentral.